GACGAACGCUGGCGGCGUGCUUAACACAUGCAAGUCGAACGGAAAGGCCCUUCGGGGUACUCGAGUGGCGAACGGGUGAGUAACACGUGGGUGAUCUGCCCUGCACUUUGGGAUAAGCCUGGGAAACUGGGUCUAAUACCGAAUAGGACCACGCGCUUCAUGGUGUGUGGUGGAAAGCUUUUGCGGUGUGGGAUGGGCCCGCGGCCUAUCAGCUUGUUGGUGGGGUAAUGGCCUACCAAGGCGACGACGGGUAGCCGGCCUGAGAGGGUGACCGGCCACGCUGGGACUGGGAUACGGCCCGGACUCCUACGGGAGGCAGCAGUGGGGAAUAUUGCACAAUGGGCGCAAGCCUGAUGCAGCGACGCCGCGUGAGGGAUGACGGCCUUCGGGUUGUAAACCUCUUUCAAUAGGGACGAAGCGCAAGUGACGGUACCUAUAGAAGAAGCACCGGCCAACUACGUG
RNAcentral lists this ribosomal RNA (462 nucleotides) under uncultured bacterium. Its description in RNAcentral is "partial 16S ribosomal RNA". It matches the Rfam family "Bacterial small subunit ribosomal RNA", at positions 28 to 507 of the family's 1533-position model. The record is from RNAcentral.